UGAUUAAUAUCAAUCAGUGUUCUAAUGUUAACAAUACUUUCUAAAGAUUUAACAGUUUAUGGCUUUGAGUAGUAUGCAAUGGACAUAAUAAUAAUGA
This is a long non-coding RNA of Haliotis rubra (blacklip abalone), 97 nucleotides long. RefSeq lists it as uncharacterized. The transcript has 3 exons. The record is from RefSeq and is a predicted model, not a curated record. NCBI's taxonomy places the organism in Eukaryota, Metazoa, Mollusca, Gastropoda, Lepetellida, Haliotidae.